Non-coding RNA from Phrynosoma platyrhinos (Desert horned lizard), 71 nucleotides. NCBI's taxonomy places the organism in Eukaryota, Metazoa, Chordata, Lepidosauria, Squamata, Phrynosomatidae. The record is from the annotation of a GenBank genome assembly.
GCCAGCUUGGCAUACUGGUUUAAGCACUAGACUAGGACUCUGGAGGCCAGGGUUCAAAUCCCCAUUUGGCC